This 143-nucleotide ribosomal RNA is filed under the name uncultured fungus. RNAcentral describes it as "partial small subunit ribosomal RNA". It matches the Rfam family "Eukaryotic small subunit ribosomal RNA", at positions 1296 to 1461 of the family's 1831-position model. Lineage: Eukaryota; Fungi. The record is from RNAcentral.
AGUUGGUGGAGUGAUUUGUCUGGUUAAUUCCGAUAACGAACGAGACCUUAACCUGCUAAAUAGACCCGACUACCCCGGUAGUUAGGGUCUUCUUAGAGGGACUAACUGCGUUUAGCAGUUGGAAGUUUGAGGCAAUAACAGGU